ACUAUGCUUGGCCCUAAACCUCAGUAGUUAAACAACAAAACUACUCGCCAGAAUACUACGAGCAACGGCUUAAAACUCAAAGGACUUGACGGUGCUUUACAUCCCCCUAGAGGAGCCUGUUUCAUAAUCGAUAAACCCCGAUCUACCCCACCCUCUCUUGCUCAGCCUAUAUACCGCCAUCUUCAGCAAACCCUGAUAAAGGUUACAAAGUGAGCGCAAACGCCUCCCCGCAAAGACGUUAGGUCAAGGUGUAGCCCAUGAGACGGUAAAAAAUGGGCUACAUUUUCUAUAUCAGAAAACUCCACGAAAACUCUUAUGAAAUUUGAGAGUCCAAGGAGGAUUUAGCAGUAAAUUAAGAAUAGAGUGCUUAAUUGAACGAGGCCAUAAAGCGCGCACACACCGCCCGUCACUCCCCUCAAAUAUAUUUAGGGAGCAUCUUAACUAAACACCCCAGUAUCUAUAUAGAGGGGAUAAGUCGUAACAUGGUAAGUGUACUGGAAGGUGCACUUGGAUAAAU
RNAcentral lists this ribosomal RNA (517 nucleotides) under Macaca nemestrina (pig-tailed macaque). Its description in RNAcentral is "partial 12S ribosomal RNA". It matches the Rfam family "Bacterial small subunit ribosomal RNA", at positions 789 to 1533 of the family's 1533-position model. Lineage: Eukaryota; Metazoa; Chordata; Mammalia; Primates; Cercopithecidae. The record is from RNAcentral.